This 88-nucleotide transfer RNA is filed under the name compost metagenome. RNAcentral's name for it is "tRNA-Pro". The record is from RNAcentral.
GUGGGGCUGGCAUCCGAUGUGCUCUUGUUAGGGCUCGGAGGGUGGUCACGGAAAUUGACCAGCUGGCGUUCGAGGCGCCGCCCCCAAC